GACGAACGCUGGCGGCGUGCUUAACACAUGCAAGUCGAACGGAAAGGCCCUGCUUUUGUGGGGUGCUCGAGUGGCGAACGGGUGAGUAACACGUGAGUAACCUGCCCUUGACUUUGGGAUAACUUCAGGAAACUGGGGCUAAUACCGGAUAGGAGCUCCUGCUGCAUGGUGGGGGUUGGAAAGUUUCGGCGGUUGGGGAUGGAUUCGCGGCUUAUCAGCUUGUUGGUGGGGUAGUGGCUUACCAAGGCUUUGACGGGUAGCCGGCCUGGGAGGGUGACCGGGCACAAUGGGCCUGAGAUACGGACCAGAAGCGAACGGGACGCAGCAGGGGAGAGUAUGGCGGAGUGGGCGGGAGUGUGAUGCAGCAGCGCCGGGUGCGGGAAGACGGGUUACGAGGUGUAAACAGCUGUGGCAUGUGACGAGGAGUGCGUGACGGUAAUGGGUAAGGAAGCAACGGCUAACUACGUG
This 468-nucleotide ribosomal RNA is filed under the name uncultured bacterium. Its description in RNAcentral is "partial 16S ribosomal RNA". It matches the Rfam family "Bacterial small subunit ribosomal RNA", at positions 28 to 507 of the family's 1533-position model. The record is from RNAcentral.